GUAGCAAUUAAAAGUCCAUCACGUUGACAGUGCGGGCGACUUAAAUUUCAAAACAGCCCUGCAUCAAAACAAUAUACAAAGUAAUAGAAAGACGUCUCUGAUAUAUGCAUGAUUUUAUCGUGGACAUAAAUACUUGGCGUCUCUUGGAAUCUAAAUCAAAAAGCUUUUAACGAGGCAUGGCAAUCAAAUCAAGGUGCGCGACCAUUCUUGUGGUAUUUUUAAUAUGCUUCGCUACGACUUCGAUAAGCGUUGCAGGACAAGCACGUAUUGUAGGUGGAAAGGAGGCGCUUGCAAAUAGUGCACCCUUUAUUGUGUCGCUUCAAAAAUCUGAAAAGGGAAGCAGUGUUCAUUAUUGUGGAGGGACGAUACUCAAUGCUAAUUGGGUUGUGACCGCUGCUCAUUGCUUGUCCUCGAAGAGCCUCGUAGACAGUACGGUCUUGGUUGCUGGAAGCAUAUUAGUAGACGACGAGUCGAGUACCGUUCAAAAGCGCAAGAUUGACUACUACGUUGUGCAUGACCUAUUUGUGGGAGGUAUCGCUCCCUAUGACAUCGGUUUAGUUUAUACUAAGACAGCAUUUAAAUGGACGUCAGCCGUUCGAGCUGCCAGUCUUCCUCAAGCGGAAUCCAUUCCCAGUGGAAGUGCUUCGUUGUAUGGAUGGGGAAGUACAUCGACGACAUCAGUUGAUAAGUUUCCUUCUUCACUUCAGGUUGUAAAUUCGUUACCAAUUUGGACAUUAUCGCGAUGUGAAAAGGCACUUGGAUCACAUGGAACAAAUUUGCACGAAACAAACAUAUGCACCGGCGACAUGGACUCAGGAAUAAGCAUUUGUAGGUCUGAUUCUGGAGGUCCACUUAUGCAGGGAAAUACUUUAAUUGGUAUUGUUUCAUGGGCAAAAAUACCAUGUGGCCAGAAGAACUCUCCAUCUGUGUAUGUGCGUGUCUCUGCUUUUAAUUCGUGGAUAACAAAACAUGAAAAAGUACCGAAAUGAUUGUUUGUAUUGUUUAAACAAAUUACGAAUAAAAAUACGAUUUCGAAACUAAUCAAAAAAGGGAUAGUAAUGGUCAAGAAAUCGUCAAUAACUGAAGAAAGAAACACAUUCUGACAUUGGUGAUUUUUUGCUUUGUGCUUGUGGUUUACAAAAUUUAUAAGAACAUUAGUAAUACUUUCGGAUUAAAACUAGAUUAGAGUUAACAUGAUAAAUGCCUGCUUGACAUAUUUAUAAUAAAAU
RNA transcript from Eupeodes corollae, 1229 nucleotides. It is a transcript of the gene named lectizyme-like, with no coding region annotated. NCBI's taxonomy places the organism in Eukaryota, Metazoa, Arthropoda, Insecta, Diptera, Syrphidae. The transcript is spliced from 3 exons. The record is from RefSeq and is a predicted model, not a curated record.